This 301-nucleotide ribosomal RNA is filed under the name uncultured bacterium. RNAcentral describes it as "partial 16S ribosomal RNA". It matches the Rfam family "Bacterial small subunit ribosomal RNA", at positions 509 to 807 of the family's 1533-position model. The record is from RNAcentral.
CAGUCGCCGCGGUAAAACGAAGGGUGCAAGCGUUAAUCGGAAUUACUGGGCGUAAAGCGUGCGUAGGCGGUUUGUUAAGUCUGUUGUGAAAUCCCCGGGCUCAACCUGGGAAUGGCAAUGGAUACUGGCAAGCUAGAGUGAGUCAGAGGAUGGUGGAAUUCCCGGUGUAGCGGUGAAAUGCGUAGAGAUCGGAAGGAACAUCAGUGGCGAAGGCGGCCAUCUGGGACAACACUGACGCUGAGGCACGAAAGCGUGGGGAGCAAACAGGAUUAGAUACCCCUGUAGUCCCUGUCUCUUAUAC